This 3776-nucleotide unclassified non-coding RNA is filed under the name Caenorhabditis elegans. RNAcentral describes it as "Non-coding transcript of protein-coding gene hpo-34". Lineage: Eukaryota; Metazoa; Nematoda; Chromadorea; Rhabditida; Rhabditidae. The record is from RNAcentral.
AUGUCAAAAGCCACAUCAGUUUCUGUUCAUUCUAGCGUUUCUCAAAAAUCCGCUCAGGUGUUAGCUCCCUUCGCAGAAAGUUUGAGCAUGGUGCUCCACCACCAUUGUCGCCUGUCUUUGAAAUGAAGAAGCAUGAGCACCACAAGCAUCUUGAUCAACACCAUCACCACAAACACCAAGACGUCGUCGUUGAGCAAACGCAAUUCCAGGUCGGCGAUAACUUCAUCUCUUCUUCUUCUUCUAAAGCAAUAGAGAAUCAUUAUGACGUUCCUUUCGAUUCUUAUGAGAUAGUUGAUAAAUCUGAAAACACUAAAAAAUCCUCAUCCUCUUACCACGCCUCCUCCUCCUACCACAAGCAAGCACCACCGCUGCCACUAGUCGAUUACCAUGUAUAUGACACGCCAACUGUUGAACAUUUCUCCCAUUCGCCAGCUUUCUAUACUGACGAUCAGCGCCACCAUUAUGUUCCCCAAAUCAAGGUGAUAACAGAGUAUCGACACAUCAACCCUCGUCAUCAUUACGUGGAAAGACAAAUUAGAAAAGCUGAUGGAAGUGCGAUUGCACAAAGUCCGCAAGUUCAAACGAUUGACUAUUUUAAAGAAAUCAACAGGGCUCACCAUUUUGUCCCAUCUACGCCACCAUCGCUGUUUAACAACAAGCGAGAAAGUUUCCACCAUCACAGCUUUAUUCCAAACAGUUUGGAAGCUGAAAGAAAGAGUCGUAGUGUUGAAAGAGCGCACCAUUAUCUCCCAGAUUCACCAGCGAAUGUGAAAGAUCAGAGAAAAAUAAUCAGGGAACAUCAUUAUGUUCCUCUUGAGAAACGCUCUCAAUCGUUGGAUUUAAAAGUAGUUCAUCCUGAACAUCACUAUGUUCCACUUGUCAGAAAAACAACGGAGGAUCAUCAACAAAAAGUGAAUCACGAACAUCAUUUCAUACCAGCGGAGAAAAAAACCGAAGCAGUCAAAGAUGUUGUUCACGAGCAUCACUACAUUCCACUGACCGCUCAUAAAACUGAUGAACAUAAUGUGAAUAUCACUCGAGAGCAUCAUUACAUUCCGUUGAAAACGGAGCAAGUGCAGAGCAAAACAGAAAUUGAACGUCACAAUCAAUACGUUCCAAUGACUACUCACAAGGAAACAAAAUCGUUUGAUACUGGAAGAAGCCACUCUUAUAUCCCAUUAGGUGGAAAUGUGGAGCAGUCAAAAACCGAGAUUUUUCGUCAGCACAACUUUGUUCCUGUUGUUGAUAAAAAGGAAAAAAACGUCGAAGAAAUCAAUCAAAAGCAUAAUUAUGUGCCAGCUCAUUCGAAUGUGGCUGUUUCCGAUAAAGAGCCGAUAAGCCGUCAUCACAACUUUGUGCCGCUUGCAACCAAAACUGUAGAAGAGACGCGUCACUCUAACGACUUAAGUCAUCAUCACUAUAUGCCACUGCCAGCAAAAAGGGAAGAGGGAAAGACGGCAGCGGGUGAUAAGGUCGGCUACGAACAUCACUAUUACCCGUUGGCAUCGAAUACUGAACGAGUUUCGGUUCACAAAGGACAAGAGCACCACUACGUGCCUCUUAUUGCUAAACCAACGGAGAGUCACGCUUCCAAAAUUGUCAUUCAGCAUCAAUAUAUUCCGCUAGCUAUGAGACAUCAAAGUGUACCGAGACUUCCUUCGGAGCACAAUUAUAUUCCGAUUGCUAUUCAUGACGAUUCGCAUCAAAAAGUCGAUUUGACGAACCAUCAAUAUUUGCCACCUAUUGUUAACGCCGAACAGAAAGAAGCUGUUAAGUUGUAUGAGCAUCAAUAUGUUCCACUUCCGCCCAAAAAGGAUAGUUUCGCGAACUACUCAUCAAAAGCUCCACAACUUCCACGAGAACAUCAUUACUAUCCGGCACCUGUUCGAUCAGUAGAGCAUCAUCAAAAACAUGUUCAUGAGCAACAUAACUAUAUUCCUGCAGUCCAUCAUCAUGAAACAAAUCAUCAACUUGAUCGUCAACAUGGAUAUAUUCCAGUCGCUGCAAAACACGAAGCAAAGAAAAAUGUACUCUAUGAGCAUCAGUACAUUCCGCCAAUCACGAGAACGGAGCAAACGAAUGGUUAUGAUAGAAGACACAAUUAUGUUCCGGUUGGAAAAACUGCAAAAGCGACAACGACAGACAUCCACGUGCAUCAGGAUCAUCAAUAUGUACCGCAAGCCAGCCCAAGGAAAACUAUUUCGGAGAUUCCACACAAGACCAAGGAUAAUCAAGUUGUUCAUGAGCAUGGAUAUGUGCCACCUGUCAAAAAAUCGGAUUUAAAAACCUCUGUCGAUCAUUCCAAGCAUGAAUAUUUGCCAUCAGUGGUGCACACGGAGUCCAAGGAUGAUUUCAAACAUUCGAAACAUGGAUAUGUUCCAUCAUUGGAACACUCACAGAGAAUUGAACGAGGCGUCGUUUCCACCCACAACUACGUGCCUCCUGUCACUAAGAUCAUCGAAAAAAACGCCUCCGAUCCCACAAAGCAUGGAUAUCUCCCACAAUCGAAGCGUUCAAAGAGUAGUGAUCAAAUUGAUCAUUCAAAGCAUGGCUUCCUUCCAUCCAUCAAACAUCAGGAAGCUCAAGAUCAUGCAGAUCACUCAAGACAUGGGUAUGUUCCACCAACGAAAAAGGCCCACAACGAUUAUUGGGGAUUUGAGCGAGACCAUCAUUAUGUUCCGGACACACUGAAAAAGGAUAAGAUCAAACAGAUUCAUCGUGAGCACAAUUUUGUCCCAUCAGUUGUUCCAGCCAAGCCCGAUGAAAAAUUCGAAGGACAAGAUCACCACUACGUGCCGUCUGUUAGAAAAACAACCGGAAUCACUUCUGAGAUCGAACAUCGCCACAAUUUCGUUGAGAAGAUUCCUUCUAAACACGAAACUCCAAAACUACCAGAAACUCAUAACUACGUGCCAACUGUUCACAAAUCCCAAAAUUUGGACCGAAGCACAUUGGAGAAGCACAAUUACGUCCCCACUUACCAAAAGAAAUUUGAGCCUCGUCGAACUGAUAUACGUCAUCACAACUAUGUGCCAACAAUUGUCAAACCACAUGAACAUCGUGAUAACUUUGAUCACCAUCAUUACGUUCCACAAAUUGCAAAACCUUCAGAUGUGAAACUAAGUGACUAUGACAAGCACCAUUACGUUCCACCAGUUUUCGAAAAGAGUGUUGUCAAUCAAGUUGAGUACGAACACAAGUACACUCCAACUGUUGUCAAGAGUACUGAACCAAGAAUUUUGAAUCACACGCAACAUCAUUACACUCCAUCUCAUCAAAUUGUAUCCAAUACAUAUGACGAUAUCGACACUCAUCAUGGAUAUUUGCCUCAAAUUCCGAGGAAAGAAACCGCAGCUCGUGUUCCAUUGGGUCAUCAUUUUGUGCCACAAAUUCCACACAAAGAAGUGGCUCCUGACUACGAUCAUCAUCACCACUAUGUGCCAUCUGUUCAGCCCAAAGCGCCAACUCCAGCCGUAGAUUACCAACAUCACUAUUUGCCUUCAGUCAAGAAACCAACUAGCACUACCACUGAUAUGAUUCGACAACAAAGGAAAAAAAUUCUGAAGAGCACUGAUGAUGAUGAAGAUCAAGAAAAUCAGUAUGUGGCGAAACCACCAGUCUACACAAAUGCAUUCGUAAAACCGUACAAGACAAUUCCUGAUGAACCAACAAACUACAUGCUCAAAAAUGGAAAAUCUCGUAACAAUGGCAUUCCUGAGGAGCCAUCGCAACCAGUUCCCAAACCUCGCUCUUUCACCUCUCCUCAGCCUGAUUAU